UACGGGGGGAGCAAGCGUUGUUCGGAUUUACUGGGCGUAAAGGGCGCGUAGGCGGCCUCUGCAAGUCGACUGUGAAAUCUCCGGGCUUAACCCGGAAAGGUCAGCCGAUACUGCAGGGCUAGAGUGCAGAAGGGGCAACUGGAAUUCUCGGUGUAGCGGUGAAAUGCGUAGAUAUCAGGAGGAACACCCGUGGUGUAGACGGCUUGCUGGACAGUCACUGACGCUGAGGCACGAAAGCGUGGGGAGCAAACAGG
Molecule: ribosomal RNA, 254 nt
Filed under: uncultured prokaryote
Description: partial 16S ribosomal RNA
Rfam family: Bacterial small subunit ribosomal RNA
Source: RNAcentral